ACUCGAGGAGGGGUUUUAGUCGGUAGGCGCUUCGGCGAAUCCGACACUACCCCCUUCAGGGAGUGUCUUUUGAAGAUUUCCCCUCCUCG
Molecule: non-coding RNA, 89 nt
Organism: Agrilus planipennis (emerald ash borer)
Lineage: Eukaryota; Metazoa; Arthropoda; Insecta; Coleoptera; Buprestidae
Source: Rfam